This 492-nucleotide ribosomal RNA is filed under the name uncultured bacterium. RNAcentral's name for it is "partial 16S ribosomal RNA". It matches the Rfam family "Bacterial small subunit ribosomal RNA", at positions 29 to 507 of the family's 1533-position model. The record is from RNAcentral.
AGUGAACGCUGGCGGUAGGCCUAACACAUGCAAGUCGAACGGCAGCACAGUAAGAGCUUGCUCUUACGGGUGGCGAGUGGCGGACGGGUGAGGAAUACAUCGGAAUCUACUUUUUCGUGGGGGAUAACGUAGGGAAACUUACGCUAAUACCGCAUACGACCUACGGGUGAAAGCAGGGGAUCUUCGGACCUUGCGCGAUUGAAUGAGCCGAUGUCGGAUUAGCUAGUUGGCGGGGUAAAGGCCCACCAAGGCGACGAUCCGUAGCUGGUCUGAGAGGAUGAUCAGCCACACUGGAACUGAGACACGGUCCAGGCUCCUACGGGAGGCAGCAGUGGGGAAUAUUGGACAAUGGGCGCAAGCCUGAUCCAGCCAUACCGCGUGGGUGAAGAAGGCCUUCGGGUUGUAAAGCCCUUUUGUUGGGAAGGAAAAGCAGCAGGUUAAUACCCCGCUGUUCUGACGGUACCCAAAGAAUAAGCACCGGCUAACUUCGUG